RNAcentral lists this ribosomal RNA (253 nucleotides) under uncultured bacterium. RNAcentral describes it as "partial 16S ribosomal RNA". It matches the Rfam family "Bacterial small subunit ribosomal RNA", at positions 524 to 776 of the family's 1533-position model. The record is from RNAcentral.
UACGGGGGGGGCAAGCGUUGUUCGGAAUUACUGGGCGUAAAGGGCUCGUAGGCGGCCAACUAAGUCGGAUGUGAAAUCCCCAAGCUUAACUUGGGAACUGCAUCCGAUACUGGAUGGCUUGAAUCCGGGAGAGGGAUGCAGAAUUCCCGGUGUAGAGGUGAAAUUCGUAGAUAUCGGGAGGAACACCGGUGGCGAAGGCGGCGACCUGGGUAGAUACUGACGCUGAGGUGCGAAAGCGUGGGGAGCAAACAGG